UACGUAGGGUGCAAGCGUUGUUCGGAAUCACUGGGCGUAAAGGGAGCGUAGGCGGAGGUGUAAGUUAGGAGUUAAAGACACGGGCUUAACCCGUGGCCUGCUUUUAAUACUGCAUUUCUUGAGUAUGGGAGAGGGCGAUGGAAUUCCAGGUGUAGCGGUGGAAUGCGUAGAUAUCUGGAAGAACACCAGUUGCGAAGGCGGUCGCCUGGCCCAAUACUGACGCUGAGGCUCGAAAGCUAGGGGAGCGAACAGG
Molecule: ribosomal RNA, 253 nt
Filed under: uncultured bacterium
Lineage: Bacteria
Description: partial 16S ribosomal RNA
Rfam family: Bacterial small subunit ribosomal RNA
Source: RNAcentral